UCCAAAUACACAAAAAUAUAACACAACAAUCCGCAGCAACCCACGGCUCAAUUACUAGUCUCAUCAAUUGUACAGAAAAUUACACUCAAAUUGACUAUUACACCCCACCUCUUCCUCCCCACGUUUCCUAGCCCAUUCUCACAAACAAUUCCAUGUACAAAAUCAUUCAAGUGAAGAUAGAGAUAGUACACAAAUUGAUCACCUCAUAUCUUUCACUUCUUCACUCACGUACUCCUUCUCCUUCACGCAAACACAUACAAAUUCACUCACAACUUGCACAAACACACAAAGUAUGAAUGAUAUGCAGUGUAUUCAUAUAGCUACAUUCAUCAUUCCUCCUUCCUCUUGAAGUCCCUCCUUCGUUUCUCCUCUUGUUCCUGUCAAGCAAAGCAACAAAACACGAUCUUUUCUUCUUCAUUUUUCUAUCAAAGAAACUAUUGGAGGUGGUUUUCUUGUGGUUUUUCUGGCGAGACCAAGAGGGCAGCAGCCCCAAUUUCUUGUUUCCUUCUCCUGAAAAAAAAAAUAAAAUAAAUAAAGCAAACAAACGCACCCUUGAUUUCCUUUGCUGCUGCCAUCCUUCCCCUUAUUUGUGUGUUAUCAGACUAGAAGAAGAAGCAACAAGGAGGCUGCUGGAGCAGCCCCCGUCGCACCUUCCCUUCCUUCCCGACGAGCUCCGCUGCCAAGCACCCCCCACUUGAGUGCUACUGUUCGUUUUCCUCCCAUCAGACCCCCUCUUCUGGCCUUACCCCUCGCACCUUCUCUUCUUCUCCUAUCGAGAUACUGUCGCCGAAGCCUCGCCUUUGCUGCUGUUGCUGCUCGCAUACCUCCAAGCAGACCGGUACUCCCCUUCUCCUUUCGCACCUCAUUAUCGGAGCAGGAAGAGAGCAACCUCGCUGCUUCUUCCCUUCCUUUUUCGGUCUCGUCAAACCCGGAGACGCUCCCUUCUUGCGAUCGAUCGACAAAAAACCGGAUUUCCUAACUGCCUGCGAGCCUUCAUGCUUUCCUUCUUGACUUCAAUCGUCCGUUUGUAUGUUCUAUCCGCUUUCAUUCGUUGCUUCAUUAUCCCUCAACAAAUGAUGAGGGCAAAAAAAGCCCUAAAUCCUUUUUAUUUUUAUGAAAUGACCAAACUAACUCCCUUAUGGAACCAUUAAUUCAAAAUAAAUCCCAACCUACAAACUUUGAUUUAAAUUAAGC
RNAcentral lists this long non-coding RNA (1194 nucleotides) under Lactuca sativa (garden lettuce). RNAcentral's name for it is "long non-coding RNA (LSAT_LNC004699)". The record is from RNAcentral. Lineage: Eukaryota; Viridiplantae; Streptophyta; Magnoliopsida; Asterales; Asteraceae.